Molecule: long non-coding RNA, 367 nt
Filed under: Brachypodium distachyon (stiff brome)
Lineage: Eukaryota; Viridiplantae; Streptophyta; Magnoliopsida; Poales; Poaceae
Description: long non-coding RNA (BDIS_LNC000940)
Source: RNAcentral
UCUUCUUUAAAGAUCUAUUACACAAUUUUACUGUCUUGCUAACCCGAAUAUUCUUUCAAAUUUCUCAAGUUGAAGGUUUAGUUGUGGAGGACGGCAUUUCACAUUCUUGACUAGGACACAAGUCAUUCUCCCAACGUAGUGAUUGAUCAUGUAGCUACAAGUCAUUAUAAUAAAAAUACAAAGUAAGUUUGUGAAAAUAAACAUGGUCAAGUAACUUACUGUCGUUAUGAUAUCUGGAUUUUUUGUUUACAAUUUUUUUUGACUAUAGCAUUAUUUUUCUAUCCUCAUACUUGUUAAGGUACACUGCUAUAAUAAUUUAAAAUGCAUGGUGCAUGGCUGCACUCUUCAAAGUUGUUUCUAAUUGCUA